This 491-nucleotide ribosomal RNA is filed under the name uncultured bacterium. RNAcentral describes it as "partial 16S ribosomal RNA". It matches the Rfam family "Bacterial small subunit ribosomal RNA", at positions 29 to 506 of the family's 1533-position model. The record is from RNAcentral.
AGUGAACGCUGGCGGUAGGCCUAACACAUGCAAGUCGAACGGCAGCACAGUAAGAGCUUGCUCUUACGGGUGGCGAGUGGCGGGCGGGUGAGGAAUACAUCGGAAUCUACUUUUUCGUGGGGGAUAACGUAGGGAAACUUACGCUAAUACCGCAUACGACCUACGGGUGAAAGCAGGGGAUCUUCGGACCUUGCGCGAUUGAAUGGGCCGAUGUCGGAUUAGCUAGUUGGCGGGGUAAAGGCCCACCAAGGCGACGAUCCGUAGCUGGUCUGAGAGGAUGAUCAGCCACACUGGAACUGAGACACGGUCCAGACUCCUACGGGAGGCAGCAGUGGGGAAUAUUGGACAAUGGGCGCAAGCCUGAUCCAGCCAUACCGCGUGGGUGAAGAAGGCCUUCGGGUGGUAAAGCCCUUUUGUUGGGAAAGAAAAGCAGCAGGUUAAGACCCCGCUGUUCUGACGGUACCCAAAGAAUAAGCACCGGCUAACUUCGU